AGCGAACGCUGGCGGCAGGCCUAACACAUGCAAGUCGAACGAACAUUCCGGGGAUAGUGGCGGCUGGGGGUGUAACACGUGGGAACGUGCCCUUAGGUUUGGAAUACCUCAGGGACACGUGUGCUAACACCGAACGGGCCCUACUGGGGAACGAUUUAUUGACUUUAGGGGGUCCAUUGUCUGAUUAGCUAUUUGGUUGAGGUAAUGGUGCACCAAGGCGACGAUAAGUAGCUGGUCAGAGAGGAGGCGCAGCCACAUUGGGACUGAGACACGGCCCAGACUCCUACGGGAGGGGGCAGUGGGGAAUCUUGCGCAAGGGGCGAAAGCCUGACGCAGCCAUGCCGCGUGAAUGAUGAAGGUCUUAGGAUAGUAAAAUUCUUUCAACGGGGACGAUAAUGACGGUACCCGGAGAAGAAGCCCCGGCUAACUUCGUG
This 434-nucleotide ribosomal RNA is filed under the name uncultured bacterium. Its description in RNAcentral is "partial 16S ribosomal RNA". It matches the Rfam family "Bacterial small subunit ribosomal RNA", at positions 29 to 507 of the family's 1533-position model. The record is from RNAcentral.